RNAcentral lists this ribosomal RNA (759 nucleotides) under uncultured Actinomycetes bacterium. RNAcentral describes it as "bacterial SSU rRNA". It matches the Rfam family "Bacterial small subunit ribosomal RNA", at positions 97 to 870 of the family's 1533-position model. Lineage: Bacteria; Bacillati; Actinomycetota; Actinomycetes. The record is from RNAcentral.
GGCGAACGGGUGAGUAACGCGUGAGCAAUCUACCUUAGUUACAGGGAUAGCCCGAGGAAACUCGGAUUAAUACCUGAUAUUCUUUAUUUCUCGCAUGAGAAUAAAAGGAAAGGUCAGCCGAACUAAGAUGAGCUCGCGUUCUAUCAGCUAGUUGGUGAGGUAAAAGCUUACCAAGGCUACGACGGAUAGCUGGUCUGAGAGGACGAUCAGCCACACUGGGACUGAGACACGGCCCAGACUCCUACGGGAGGCUGCAGCAGGGAAUAUUGUGCAAUGAACGAAAGUUUGACACAGCGACACCGCGUGUGGGAUGACGGAUCUAGGUUUGUAAACCACUUUCAGGAGGGAAGAAAAUGACGGUACCUCCACAAGAAGCCCCGGCCAACUACGUGCCAGCAGCCGCGGUAAUACGUAGGGGGCGAGCGUUGUCCGGAUUUAUUGGGCGUAAAGAGCUCGUAGGCGGUUCAACAAGUCGGUCGUGAAAGUUCAGGGCUCAACCCUGAAAUGUCGAUCGAUACUGUUGUGACUAGGAUACGGUAGAGGUGAGUGGAAUUCCGAGUGUAGCGGUGAAAUGCGUAGAUAUUCGGAGGAACACCAAUUGCGAAGGCAGCUCACUGGACCGCUAUCGACGCUGAGGAGCGAAAGCUAGGGGAGCAAACAGGAUUAGAUACCCUGGUAGUCCUAGCUGUAAACGAUGGAUACUAGACGUAGGAACUGGAUUGACGGUUUCUGUGUCGUAGCUAACGCGUUAAGUAUCCC